UACAGAGGUCUCAAGCGUUGUUCGGAUUCAUUGGGCGUAAAGGGUGUGUAGGUGGCGCCGUAAGUCGGGUGUGAAAUUUCGGAGCUUAACUCCGAAACUGCAUUCGAUACUGCGGUGCUUGAGGACUGGAGAGGAGACUGGAAUUCAUGGUGUAGCAGUGAAAUGCGCAGAUAUCAGGAGGAACACCGGUGGCGAAGGCGGGUCUCUGGGCCGAAACUGACGCUGAGGAGCGAAAGCGUGGGGAGCAAACAGG
Molecule: ribosomal RNA, 253 nt
Filed under: uncultured bacterium
Lineage: Bacteria
Description: partial 16S ribosomal RNA
Rfam family: Bacterial small subunit ribosomal RNA
Source: RNAcentral